This 77-nucleotide transfer RNA is filed under the name Chloroflexota bacterium. RNAcentral describes it as "tRNA-Arg". It matches the Rfam family "tRNA". Rfam says of the family: Transfer RNA (tRNA) molecules are approximately 80 nucleotides in length. Their secondary structure includes four short double-helical elements and three loops (D, anti-codon, and T loops). Further hydrogen bonds mediate the characteristic L-shaped molecular structure. tRNAs have two regions of fundamental functional importance: the anti-codon, which is responsible for specific mRNA codon recognition, and the 3' end, to which the tRNAs corresponding amino acid is attached (by aminoacyl-tRNA synthetases). tRNAs cope with the degeneracy of the genetic code in two manners: having more than one tRNA (with a specific anti-codon) for a particular amino acid; and 'wobble' base-pairing, i.e. permitting non-standard base-pairing at the 3rd anti-codon position. The record is from RNAcentral. RNAcentral also lists the same sequence under 2 other names. Lineage: Bacteria; Bacillati; Chloroflexota.
GCCCCUGUAGCUCAGGCGGAUAGAGCAGCGGUUUCCUAAACCGCGUGUCGCGCGUUCGAGUCGCGCCAGGGGUACCA